This 116-nucleotide ribosomal RNA is filed under the name uncultured bacterium. RNAcentral's name for it is "partial 16S ribosomal RNA". It matches the Rfam family "Bacterial small subunit ribosomal RNA", at positions 1369 to 1482 of the family's 1533-position model. The record is from RNAcentral.
CGUUCCCGGGCCUUGUACACACCGCCCGUCACACCACGAAAGUCGGCAAUACCCGAAGCCGGUGGCCUAACCCGCAAGGGAGGGAGCCGCCGAAGGUAGGGUCGAUGAUUGGGGUG